This is a long non-coding RNA of Culex pipiens pallens (northern house mosquito), 2396 nucleotides long. RefSeq lists it as uncharacterized. The record is from RefSeq and is a predicted model, not a curated record. Lineage: Eukaryota; Metazoa; Arthropoda; Insecta; Diptera; Culicidae. The transcript has 2 exons.
AAGAAAUGUUUUGUUAUAAACCACUAAUAAUUUGCUGCAUGCAAAAAUACGAAAAACGAAAAAAAAUUGUUGAAAAAUAGUUGAAAAAUAUUUCCCAGCCAGUUUUUAACAGAAUAUUCCACAAUAUUUCAGCUGAAAACAAGAAAUUUUUAGGUAAUUUUCUGAAAAAAAUAUUCUAGCAGUCAACUGCUAGAAUUUUUUCGGCCAUUUAACCAACAAAAAUGGCAAUUCCAACUAUUUUUUUGUUAACUUUAGUUACUGGUGGUCAGCAAUUUCGGGUUAACAAAAUCAACAAUCGAUUGUUGAAAAAAAGCUGUGUAAAAAAUUAGCCCAUACUUUUAGUUAAAUUAACCAAGAUUUUCUUAGAUUUGCCCCGGCCGGUCUCUCCGUGUGCUACAAAUUGGUGGUUUUGUGCGUCCUGGAAGAUAUAAAUUUAUCAAUCAAUUAUUGCAAACAGUUUAUUCUGCUGUAUACUUACAAAAAUAGAAAAAAAUCCUUACAACUGCAAUUUUACAGAGCUCGGUUUUUAUCGCCAUGUUGAUUUUGGUGUGUUUUCUUUUCGAGUAAGUAGAGUGAGCGAGAGUUUUGUGACAUUUUGUUGUUGUUCUCGCUCGCUCUCUUUCACUCUCACUCGAACCGAUAACCGUGCUGCCAGUUUUUUGAAAAAAAUCAUAACAGUGUUGCUGGUGACUGCUGGAAAUCAGCUCUAUUUUAGCUGUUGUCCGUGCAGUUUUUUUUAGAGCUGUUUUGCUUUCAUCUUAGCUGUUUUAUGACAGAUUUGCUGGGGUAUGCUGUUUUGCAGCUUAUUUAUGAUUUUUUUUAGUGUUGGAUGGUUACUUGGGUGAAUAUGAACAAAAACGAAACAGAAUCAGGUGGGAUUCGAACUCACACCUUUGGAUUGAUGAUCUGGGACUCUAACCAGUCGGCCACCUACAGGUUAUAAAAUAUGUUGUAUUCUUCUCAUAUUAUAUACGAUCUGAUCCCUGAUUUGCCUGAAGGGAUUGGGAGUCUUAAGAUAGAUCAAGGAUCCGUCUGGUGCUUGCUUCUAUGUUGAGGCGGGGCCGGACAAUGCCCAACGACCUCAGAAUUGGACCGCUAGGAUCUCUGCCAUUCUGAAAUUGGUCGCUGGAAGCAGCGCGAGGGCUAUCACCACCUAAUACCCGGGACUGAGAUAAGUUGUAUCAGCAUUUCGGCAUAUGGGUCAUACCAUCUCAACUGUGCACGAAAAAGUGCAAAUUUGAAAAUUACCCUCUCCGAUCCUGCUCAAAUUUGGCAGGGCUGUUGAUACCACACUCAAAAAAAUCCACACGUAGAUGCUACGUGAAAAAUCACGUAACCCCAAUUUUCCCCUCCAUAGGUCUGUUUUACGUGACACACGUAAAAAUAAUGUGAAUGUGUACCGGCAAAAAAAAAAUACUUCACGUUGAUGCUACGUGAAAAACCCUAUAGUAUUUUUCCACUAGGUUUAUUCAUGUAGCUUUGAUGUGUUUUGAAAUGUAACUCCAACGAACCCACUCGAGUGCGCCAAAUUUCUACGUGAUUAUUUUAGUAUGAAAAUUGACGGCGUACGGUGAAGACCUCCUGCCGGACUGUUCCAGUAAAUUUUCUUUAAAAAUGUAAAAGUUGAAACCGGUAGAACAAUUUCCUUUCCCUGUGGCCUCUGGAAUUCGGUCCGGUGCCAACAUUAUCGACCUGAAGGACUCCUAAAAGGCAACCCCGGUUUCUUCAGAAGGAAUGGCCAUCAAGGUCUGUGCUACCGUGGUGACACCACCGGAACUGCCACGGACGUGGUAUCGCCGAGUGUGUCGUCUUAAAUCUGAUAAUCUACACCGGGUGCUUUGCGGUCACCUUCAUGCCGGCCAUGACAAGUUUGAUGCCCUCGCGUGUGACGCUAAAGAGCAGGAGCAGCAGUUAAACGUAGUCCACAAGGCCAAGGACUCCACCAAUCGUAGAUCAACGGUGAGAAGGCCAAGGUCAAGCCCAUCGUCGUGGUAUUUCUUGUUUGGAAGCAUAAUAUAAGAAGUGAUCUGUGUUGCAUCGGUGAGAUUGUUCAGAAAUAAAUGAUGUUUUGAUAAAUAUAAUAAGUUUGAAUAACAUAAUUUAAAACAGAAGUGUACUUUCUUUUUAUUUAUAUUCGAAAAAAGAAUGAAAUAACCUCGGAAAUAACCUUCUAAAACUAAAACAAAUCAUAUAACGUUUACUACAACAAACAUGUACAAAUCAUAGGUUGAUUCAUUUAGCUUUUACGUGUGAAACACGUAGAAACAACGUGAAAUGAUCUGGCCAAACAAAUUUCAUUUCUACUAGCGUCACCUCGUAGAAGUUACGUGAAAACUCUAGUGGAAAAAUACCACAUAGCUUUUCACGUAACUUCAAUGUGAAUAUUUUUUUGAGUG